GAUGAACGCUGGCGGCGUGCCUAACACAUGCAAGUCGAGCGGAUGGACGGAGCUUUUGCCUGGAUUCUGCGGGGGGCGGGUGUGUGAUUCACAGGAGUAUGCCUGGCAUUUGGGGAUGACAUCCCGACGCGAGCGCUUAUACCACAUCCGACCAGAUGUUGAACCUGGGGGAUCUUCGGACAUCACCGGAUCUGCUGAGCCUAGUUCGGGUUAGCUAGCUGGUGGGGUAAAGGGGUACUAAGGCGACGAUCCGUAACUGGUCUGCGAGGAUGAUCAGUCACACUGGAACUGAGACACGGUCCAGACUCCUACGGGAGGCAGCAGUAGGGAAUCUUGAGCAAUGGGCGAAAGCCUGACCCAGCCAUGCCGCGUGGUUGAAGAAGGUCUUCGGAUGGGAAAGCACUGUAAGUUGGGAGGAAGAGCAGUAAGUGUAUAACUUACUGUUUUGACGGUACCUACAGAAAAAGCCACGGCUAACUUCGUG
Molecule: ribosomal RNA, 484 nt
Filed under: uncultured bacterium
Lineage: Bacteria
Description: partial 16S ribosomal RNA
Rfam family: Bacterial small subunit ribosomal RNA
Source: RNAcentral